This 1179-nucleotide ribosomal RNA is filed under the name Caligospora dilabens. RNAcentral's name for it is "eukaryotic LSU rRNA". It matches the Rfam family "Eukaryotic large subunit ribosomal RNA", at positions 1 to 1214 of the family's 3401-position model. The record is from RNAcentral. Lineage: Eukaryota; Fungi; Ascomycota; Sordariomycetes; Chaetosphaeriales; Chaetosphaeriaceae.
UUGACCUCGGAUCAGNUAGAAUACCNGCUGAACUUAAGCAUAUCAAUAAGCGGANNNNNNNNNNNNNNNNGGGAUUGCCCUAGUAACGGCGAGUGAAGCGGCAACAGCUCAAAUUUGAAAUCUGGCCCCAGGCCCGAGUUGUACUUUGCAGAGGAUGCUUCGGGCGCGGCGCCUUCCAAGUCCCCUGGAACGGGGCGCCUUAGAGGGUGAGAGCCCCGUACGGUUGGAUGCCUAGCCUGUGUGAAGCUCCUUCGACGAGUCGAGUAGUUUGGGAAUGCUGCUCAAAAUGGGAGGUAGACCCCUUCUAAAGCUAAAUACCGGCCAGAGACCGAUAGCGCACAAGUAGAGUGAUCGAAAGAUGAAAAGCACUUUGAAAAGAGGGUNCAAAAGCACGUGAAAUUGUUGAAGGGGAAGCGCUUGUGACCAGACUUGCGCCGGGGCGAUCAUCUGGCGUUCUCGCCGGUGCACUCGCCCCGGCUCAGGCCAGCGUCGGUUCGGGGGGGAGGACAAAGGCGCCGGGGACGUGGCUCCCCCGGGAGUGUUAUAGCCCGGCGCGUCAUGCCCCCUCCCGGACCGAGGUUCGCGCUCUGCAAGGACGCUGGCAUAAUGGUCACCAGCGGCCCGUCUUGAAACACGGACCAAGGAGUCGAGGUUCUGCGCGAGUGUUUGGGUGUCAAACCCGCACGCGUAAUGAAAGUGAACGUAGGUGAGAGCUUCGGCGCACCACCGACCGAUCCUGAUGUUCUCGGAUGGAUUUGAGUAAGAGCGUUNGGGCUCGGACCCGAAAGAUGGUGAACUAUGCUUGGAUAGGGUGAAGCCAGAGGAAACUCUGGUGGAGGCUCGCAGCGGUUCUGACGUGCAAAUCGAUCGUCAAAUCUGAGCAUGGGGGCGAAAGACUAAUCGAACCAUCUAGUAGCUGGUUACCGCCGAAGUUUCCCUCAGGAUAGCAGUGUUGUCUUCAGUUUUAUGAGGUAAAGCGAAUGAUUAGGGACUCGGGGGCGCUAUUUUGCCUUCAUCCAUUCUCAAACUUUAAAUAUGUAAGAAGCCCUUGUUGCUUAGUUGAACGUGGGCCUUCGAAUGCAUCAACACUAGUGGGCCAUUUUUGGUAAGCAGAACUGGCGAUGUGGGAUGAACCAUACGCGAGGUUAAGGUGCCGGAGUGGACGCUCAUCAGACACCA